RNAcentral lists this ribosomal RNA (497 nucleotides) under uncultured bacterium. Its description in RNAcentral is "partial 16S ribosomal RNA". It matches the Rfam family "Bacterial small subunit ribosomal RNA", at positions 28 to 507 of the family's 1533-position model. The record is from RNAcentral.
GAUGAACGCUGGCGGCGUGCCUAAUACAUGCAAGUCGAGCGAACAGACGAGGAGCUUGCUCCUCUGACGUUAGCGGCGGACGGGUGAGUAACACGUGGAUAACCUACCUAUAAGACUGGGAUAACUUCGGGAAACCGGAGCUAAUACCGGAUAAUAUAUUGAACCGCAUGGUUCAAUAGUGAAAGACGGUUUUGCUGUCACUUAUAGAUGGAUCCGCGCCGCAUUAGCUAGUUGGUAAGGUAACGGCUUACCAAGGCGACGAUGCGUAGCCGACCUGAGAGGGUGAUCGGCCACACUGGAACUGAGACACGGUCCAGACUCCUACGGGAGGCAGCAGUAGGGAAUCUUCCGCAAUGGGCGAAAGCCUGACGGAGCAACGCCGCGUGAGUGAUGAAGGUCUUCGGAUCGUAAAACUCUGUUAUUAGGGAAGUACAAAUGUGUAAGUAACUAUGCACGUCUUGACGGUACCUAAUCAGAAAGCCACGGCUAACUACGUG